Molecule: ribosomal RNA, 30 nt
Filed under: Alternaria alternata
Lineage: Eukaryota; Fungi; Ascomycota; Dothideomycetes; Pleosporales; Pleosporaceae
Also listed under: 2 other names
Description: partial 18S ribosomal RNA
Source: RNAcentral
UCCGUAAGUGAACCUGCGGAGGGAUCAUUA